Molecule: long non-coding RNA, 252 nt
Filed under: Apteryx rowi (Okarito brown kiwi)
Lineage: Eukaryota; Metazoa; Chordata; Aves; Apterygiformes; Apterygidae
Description: lncRNA (ENSARWG00000010093.1)
Source: RNAcentral
CAGACCUGCCGCCUGGCUGCUCGCUCGGUUCUUGUGCGACAGUGAGUCCUGUCCGACUCUGCCUCCGCUGCUGCCCUGCAAACGCCUGGCGCUGAGCUGGGGCGACCAGAGCCACUCACGGUGCUCGACGCAGAGCCUGAGAACGCUGUAGCCUCGGUUAAAGGCACAGGUGCCUUCGCAGACGGAGAGGAAACGUUCCCGGCAAUCCCUGGAGAGCGAGGCCCAGACUCUACCACCAACGCAGAUGCAACC